CUAGAAUGGCGGGGUCGUGGUGCUUUAUUGCAGUGCAAUAAAGUUAAACGGGAAACACAAAACGUGUGCUACCCCCGCAACGGUAGGUAAAUGCGUCUUUUUUAGCAGUUUAAGGCGUCAGGAAUCUGACAAAGCCACUGUGCGCGUCAAUCGCAUGGGAAGGCCAGAUUCUGAUAUUUACUAGCUCGGAUACCGGCCAAGACAGGUGGAAUUUU
This 215-nucleotide non-coding RNA is filed under the name Polynucleobacter necessarius. The record is from RNAcentral. Lineage: Bacteria; Pseudomonadati; Pseudomonadota; Betaproteobacteria; Burkholderiales; Burkholderiaceae.